GAAUGCUAAUUUCACCUUAAGAAAUGUACUAAUCUCUUGAAUGAAUUCAACGUGCAUUCAGUUAAUUCACACUGAUUAAAGUGACGACUGUUAAACAAUAAAAAAUUAAGUUAAACACAAAAAAUUAAGUUANCUACACCGUCCGUCCGUUUAUCCCACUUGACGUCGAAUGUCUCGAGUUCAGUGUAAGUGCUCAUGGGAAAAUCCUGGUUAUUAAUAAGAUUCGUGAAAAAUAUAAAACACACGAAGCUGCUUAAUAAUCAGGAUCGUCCCUGCCGGAUAAACGUUAACUGGGGUCCGCGGGUUCGUAAAGCCCGUUCCUCUGUUCAGAAUACCCCUGCGGUACGGUCUCAC
Non-coding RNA from Cinara cedri, 354 nucleotides. The record is from the annotation of a GenBank genome assembly. Lineage: Eukaryota; Metazoa; Arthropoda; Insecta; Hemiptera; Aphididae.